GCAACUCGACUGCAUGAAGUCGGAAUCGCUAGUAAUCGCGGAUCAGCAUGCCGCGGUGAAUACGUUCCCGGGCCUUGUACACACCGCCCGUCACACCAUGAGAGUCGGGAACACCCGAAGUCCGUAGCCUAACCGCAAGGGGGGCGCGGCCGAAGGUGGGUUCGAUAAUUGGGGUGAAGUCGUAACAAGGUACC
Molecule: ribosomal RNA, 194 nt
Filed under: uncultured bacterium
Lineage: Bacteria
Description: partial 16S ribosomal RNA
Rfam family: Bacterial small subunit ribosomal RNA
Source: RNAcentral